This 376-nucleotide ribosomal RNA is filed under the name uncultured bacterium. RNAcentral describes it as "bacterial SSU rRNA". It matches the Rfam family "Bacterial small subunit ribosomal RNA", at positions 521 to 895 of the family's 1533-position model. The record is from RNAcentral.
UAAUACGGAGGGUGCGAGCGUUGUCCGGAAUCACUGGGCGUAAAGGGCGCGUAGGCGGCCUGAUAAGUAGGGGGUGAAAUCCUGCGGCUUAACCGCAGGGCUGCCUUCUAAACUGUCGGGCUGGAGCACAGUAGAGGCAGGUGGAAUUCCCGGUGUAGCGGUGGAAUGCGUAGAGAUCGGGAAGAACAUCAGUGGCGAAGGCGGCCUGCUGGGCUGUUGCUGACGCUGAGGCGCGACAGCGUGGGGAGCAAACAGGAUUAGAUACCCUGGUAGUCCACGCCGUAAACGAUGGACACUAGGCGUCGGGGGGAGCGACCCUCCCGGUGCCGUCGCUAACGCAGUAAGUGUCCCGCCUGGGGAGUACGGCCGCAAGGCU